Non-coding RNA from Cladochytrium replicatum, 73 nucleotides. NCBI's taxonomy places the organism in Eukaryota, Fungi, Chytridiomycota, Chytridiomycetes, Cladochytriales, Cladochytriaceae. The record is from the annotation of a GenBank genome assembly.
GCUCUUUUAGUUCAGUUGGCUAUAGCGUAGUGCUGUAAGAAAGAGAUUGCAGGUUCAAAACCUGUCUGGAGCA